This 397-nucleotide ribosomal RNA is filed under the name uncultured bacterium. RNAcentral's name for it is "partial 16S ribosomal RNA". It matches the Rfam family "Bacterial small subunit ribosomal RNA", at positions 523 to 918 of the family's 1533-position model. The record is from RNAcentral.
AUACGUAGGGGGCGAGCGUUGUCCGGAAUGAUUGGGCGUAAAGGGCGCGUAGGCGGCGCGGUAAGUCUGGAGUGAAAGUCCUGCUUUCAAGGUGGGAAUUGCUUUGGAUACUGCCGCGCUUGAGUGCAGGAGAGGUUAUCGGAAUUCCCGGUGUAGCGGUGAAAUGCGUAGAGAUCGGGAGGAACACCAGUGGCGAAGGCGGGUAACUGGACUGCAACUGAUGCUGAGGCGCGAAAGUGUGGGGAGCAAACAGGAUUAGAUACCCUGGUAGUCCACACUGUAGACGAUGAAUGCUAGGUGUAAGAGGUAUCGACCCCUUUUGUGCCGGAGUCAACACAAUAAGCAUUCCGCCUGGGGAGUACGGCCGCAAGGUUGAAACUCAAAUGAAUUGACGGGG